RNAcentral lists this ribosomal RNA (800 nucleotides) under uncultured rumen bacterium. RNAcentral describes it as "bacterial SSU rRNA". It matches the Rfam family "Bacterial small subunit ribosomal RNA", at positions 109 to 909 of the family's 1533-position model. The record is from RNAcentral.
AGUAACGCGUAUCCAACCUGCCGCGAAGCAAGGGAUAACCUCCCGAAAGGGAGCCUAAUACCUUAUGUUCUGUGAAGAGGGCAUCUGACUCACAGCAAAGGCCUGGGCCGCUUCGCGAUGGGGAUGCGUCCGAUUAGGCAGCAGGCGGGGCAACGGCCCACCUGGCCAACGAUCGGUAGGGGUUCUGAGAGGAAGGUCCCCCACAUUGGAACUGAGACACGGUCCAAACUCCUACGGGAGGCAGCAGUGAGGAAUAUUGGUCAAUGGGCGUAAGCCUGAACCAGCCAAGUAGCGUGCAGGACGACGGCCCUAUGGGUUGUAAACUGCUUUUAUGCGGGGAUAAAGCCACUUACGUGUAAGUGUUUGCAGGUACCGCAUGAAUAAGGACCGGCUAAUUCCGUGCCAACAGCCGCGGUAAUACGGAAGGUCCGGGCGUUAUCCGGAUUUAUUGGGUUUAAAGGGAGCGUAGGCCGCGGGUCAAGCGUGUUGUGAAAUGCAAGUGCUCAACAUCUGGAUUGCAGCGCGAACUGGCCCGCUUGAGUGCGCGCAACGCAGGCGGAAUUCGUCGUGUAGCGGUGAAAUGCUUAGAUAUGACGAAGAACCCCGAUUGCGAAGGCAGCUUGCGGGAGCGCAACUGACGCUGAAGCUCGAAAGUGCGGGUAUCGAACAGGAUUAGAUACCCUGGUAGUCCGCACGGUAAACGAUGGAUGCCCGCUAUCGGCGCCUGGCGCCGGUGGCCAAGCGAAAGCGUUAAGCAUCCCACCUGGGGAGUACGCCGGCAACGGUGAAACUCAAAGGAA